UACAGAGGUGGCAAGCGUUGUUCGGAUUUACUGGGCGUAAAGGGCGCGUAGGCGGCGUGACAAGUCACUUGUGAAAUCUCCGGGCUUAACUCGGAGCGGCCAAGUGAUACUGUCGUGCUAGAGUGCGGAAGGGGCUACUGGAAUUCUCGGUGUAGCGGUGAAAUGCGUAGAUAUCGAGAGGAACACCUGCGGCGAAGGCGGGUAGCUGGGCCGACACUGACGCUGAGGCGCGAAAGCUAGGGGAGCGAACGGG
RNAcentral lists this ribosomal RNA (253 nucleotides) under uncultured bacterium. Its description in RNAcentral is "partial 16S ribosomal RNA". It matches the Rfam family "Bacterial small subunit ribosomal RNA", at positions 524 to 776 of the family's 1533-position model. The record is from RNAcentral.